GUGAGGAAUAUUGGUCAAUGGGCGAGAGCCUGAACCAGCCAUCCCGCGUGCAGGAUGACGGCCCUAUGGGUUGUAAACUGCUUUUCUACGCCAAGAAACGGCCCUACGUGUAGGGCACUGACGGUAGCGUAGGAAUAAGCAUCGGCUAACUCCGUGCCAGCAGCCGCGGUAAUACGGAGGAUGCAAGCGUUAUCCGGAUUCAUUGGGUUUAAAGGGUGCGCAGGCGGGAAAGUAAGUCAGUGGUGAAAAACUGCCGCUCAACGGUAGUCGUGCCAUUGAUACUGCUUUUCUUGAGUUUGGAUGAGGUAGGCGGAAUGUGCAGUGUAGCGGUGAAAUGCAUAGAUAUUGCACAGAACACCAAUUGCGAAGGCAGCUUACUAAUCCACGACUGACGCUGAGGCACGAAAGCGUGGGGAGCGAACAGGAUUAGAAACCCUAGUAGUCC
Molecule: ribosomal RNA, 445 nt
Filed under: uncultured bacterium
Lineage: Bacteria
Description: bacterial SSU rRNA
Rfam family: Bacterial small subunit ribosomal RNA
Source: RNAcentral